CCAAGUAUGGCGGUGGAAACGAGUGGCCGGGGGAAGGGAGUCCAUAUUACCCCUUAUUUACGCCUCCACACAGCCGGCACAGCAGAACACAGCAUCCAGCACGUGCCCCGAGCCUUCCGCCACUCAGCACUAGUAGCAGGUCUGUGUGUGCAGCUCCGUCCAACCCCACAAGGGAAGAUACGGAUGGGAAACGGAGAAGAAGAAGAAGUGUGUGCAACCAUUACCAGGAGAGUCACACCAGUAAUGCUGAGACAACUUAGGACUCUGGCAGGACUCACAGGAGGCUGUUGCUUGGAGGGCGAGGCAGCGAGAUGAACAGUACAGCACUAUGAGAGUGUGGCUGUCCCAGCAGAGCCCUGUCCUGACCCUCUGCUGGUGUCAUGCCCGACCCCAUAGAUGUCAAGGACCCUGGAGAGCCAUAAGACUUGUAUCUUCUACUUGUAUACAUGAAGGAAUGGUUGUCUCCAAGGAACAUGUAUCUCUGUGUCCCUCCAAGCCGUGCCCCACCACCUGGAGAGAGUGCCGGCCAGGGAGCACGCCGGCACACCCACCCUGAGGCUCUAUCCCUGGGGUGUCUGCCAAGCAAGUCCCCACCAGGCCUGCACCUUCCUGAGUCACCCAUGGCAGAGUACAUCUUUCACUCUGCCAGCAUUUACAACUUGAGGGUUGUGUGCUCUACAUCUUUUGCUGCACCUUCAAGAGUCAGGAUCAGAAGGAUGGAGGCCAGCAUCACCAAGUACCUUCAUUGCAUUGCCACAGAAAGAUUCACCAUUACCCUAGCCUGCCUUGGUGGAAAACAGGGUCUGGCUAACAGGGUACAGUGUAUAAGGAAGCUGUAGAAAAAAAAAGCUUCGUUAUCAAGAUGAGGGAGGUUAGCCCGAGUUUAGCUUCACUUAUUUUUGUUGUCAUGGAAAGAAAUAUACAGCAGACCCUUUAUUUCGUGCGAGACUGGUACCAAAGAAAUUCUAACAAAAUGGAGGUGUUAUUUCAGUGAGAUUGAUUAAUGAGGCUGGUGGGACUUUUUUUAUGGUUCGUGUGUGUAUAUGUGUGAAGGAGUUGGCUCAAGGGGUGUGUUAUAAGUGACUUUUUUGAUGGCUGGCUGGUGGGUCUGCCUUACGUUGACCCCACACGCUGCCCUUUGGAGGAAGCUGGGUGAAGAUGGAAGGGGAAAUGUUAUACUGUUGGCACCCCUAAUAUCUUUUCUUACACUUGAGAGACAGAAUCAGAGGCAUUUAUUUACAAUUGUGUUACUAGAAAUACUUACACGUUCACCCCAGCCUGUCUUUGCUUGCUGGGGAAGA
This is a long non-coding RNA of Eriocheir sinensis (Chinese mitten crab), 1301 nucleotides long. RefSeq lists it as uncharacterized. The record is from RefSeq and is a predicted model, not a curated record. The transcript is spliced from 5 exons. Lineage: Eukaryota; Metazoa; Arthropoda; Malacostraca; Decapoda; Varunidae.